UGGGGAAUAUUGCACAAUGGGCGCAAGCCUGAUGCAGCCAUGCCGCGUGUGUGAAGAAGGCCUUCGGGUUGUAAAGCACUUUCAGCGGGGAGGAAGGCGUUAAGGUUAAUAACCUUGGCGAUUGACGUUACCCGCAGAAGAAGCACCGGCUAACUCCGUGCCAGCAGCCGCGGUAAUACGGAGGGUGCAAGCGUUAAUCGGAAUUACUGGGCGCAAAGCGCACGCAGGCGGUCUGUCAAGUCGGAUGUGAAAUCCCCGGGCUCAACCUGGGAACUGCAUUCGAAACUGGCAGGCUAGAGUCUUGUAGAGGGGGGUAGAAUUCCAGGUGUAGCGGUGAAAUGCGUAGAGAUCUGGAGGAAUACCGGUGGCGAAGGCGGCCCCCUGGACAAAGACUGACGCUCAGGUGCGAAAGCGUGGGGAGCAAACAGG
RNAcentral lists this ribosomal RNA (429 nucleotides) under Chloroflexota bacterium. RNAcentral's name for it is "Chloroflexi bacterium partial 16S ribosomal RNA". It matches the Rfam family "Bacterial small subunit ribosomal RNA", at positions 355 to 776 of the family's 1533-position model. The record is from RNAcentral. Lineage: Bacteria; Bacillati; Chloroflexota.